This 85-nucleotide transfer RNA is filed under the name Alphaproteobacteria bacterium GM202ARS2. Its description in RNAcentral is "tRNA-Leu". It matches the Rfam family "tRNA". From Rfam's summary of the family: Transfer RNA (tRNA) molecules are approximately 80 nucleotides in length. Their secondary structure includes four short double-helical elements and three loops (D, anti-codon, and T loops). Lineage: Bacteria; Pseudomonadati; Pseudomonadota; Alphaproteobacteria. The record is from RNAcentral.
GCGGGUGUGGCGGAAUUGGUAGACGCGCUGGCUUUAGGUGCCAGUGACUUCGGUCGUAGGGGUUCAAAUCCCUUCACCCGCACCA